AAGGUUAAGCCUCACGGUUCAUUAGUACCGGUUAGCUCAACGCAUCGCUGCGCUUACACACCCGGCCUAUCAACGUCGUCGUCUUCAACGUUCCUUCAGGACUCUCAAGGAGUCAGGGAGAACUCAUCUCGGGGCAAGUUUCGUGCUUAGAUGCUUUCAGCACUUAUCUCUUCCGCAUUUAGCUACCGGGCAGUGCCAUUGGCAUGACAACCCGAACACCAGUGAUGCGUCCACUCCGGUCCUCUCGUACUAGGAGCAGCCCCCCUCAGUUCUCCAGCGCCCACGGCAGAUAGGGACCGAACUGUCUCACGACGUUCUAAACCCAGCUCGCGUACCACUUUAAAUGGCGAACAGCCAUACCCUUGGGACCUACUUCAGCCCCAGGAUGUGAUGAGCCGACAUCGAGGUGCCAAACACCGCCGUCGAUAUGAACUCUUGGGCGGUAUCAGCCUGUUAUCCCCGGAGUACCUUUUAUCCGUUGAGCGAUGGCCCUUCCAUUCAGAACCACCGGAUCACUAUGACCUGCUUUCGCACCUGCUCGCGCCGUCACGCUCGCAGUCAAGCUGGCUUAUGCCAUUGCACUAACCUCCUGAUGUCCGACCAGGAUUAGCCAACCUUCGUGCUCCUCCGUUACUCUUUAGGAGGAGACCGCCCCAGUCAAACUACCCACCAGACACUGUCCGCAACCCGGAUUACGGGUCAACGUUAGAACAUCAAACAUUAAAGGGUGGUAUUUCAAGGUCGGCUCCAUGCAGACUGGCGUCCACACUUCAAAGCCUCCCACCUAUCCUACACAUCAAGGCUCAAUGUUCAGUGUCAAGCUAUAGUAAAGGUUCACGGGGUCUUUCCGUCUUGCCGCGGGUACACUGCAUCUUCACAGCGAGUUCAAUUUCACUGAGUCUCGGGUGGAGACAGCCUGGCCAUCAUUACGCCAUUCGUGCAGGUCGGAACUUACCCGACAAGGAAUUUCGCUACCUUAGGACCGUUAUAGUUACGGCCGCCGUUUACCGGGGCUUCGAUCAAGAGCUUCGCUUGCGCUAACCCCAUCAAUUAACCUUCCGGCACCGGGCAGGCGUCACACCGUAUACGUCCACUUUCGUGUUUGCACAGUGCUGUGUUUUUAAUAAACAGUUGCAGCCAGCUGGUAUCUUCGACUGAUUUCAGCUCCAUCCGCGAGGGACUUCACCUACAUAUCAGCGUGCCUUCUCCCGAAGUUACGGCACCAUUUUGCCUAGUUCCUUCACCCGAGUUCUCUCAAGCGCCUUGGUAUUCUCUACCUGACCACCUGUGUCGGUUUGGGGUACGAUUUGAUGUUACCUGAUGCUUAGAGGCUUUUCCUGGAAGCAGGGCAUUUGUUGCUUCAGCACCGUAGUGCCUCGUCAUCACGCCUCAGCCUUGGUUUUCCGGAUUUGCCUGGAAAACCAGCCUACACGCUUAAACCGGGACAACCGUCGCCCGGCCAACAUAGCCUUCUCCGUCCCCCCUUCGCAGUAACACCAAGUACAGGAAUAUUAACCUGUUUCCCAUCGACUACGCCUUUCGGCCUCGCCUUAGGGGUCGACUCACCCUGCCCCGAUUAACGUUGGACAGGAACCCUUGGUCUUCCGGCGAGCGGGCUUUUCACCCGCUUUAUCGUUACUUAUGUCAGCAUUCGCACUUCUGAUACCUCCAGCAUGCCUCACAGCACACCUUCACAGGCUUACAGAACGCUCCCCUACCCAACAACGCAUCAGCGUCGCUGCCGCAGCUUCGGUGCAUGGUUUAGCCCCGUUACAUCUUCCGCGCAGGCCGACUCGACCAGUGAGCUAUUACGCUUUCUUUAAAUGAUGGCUGCUUCUAAGCCAACAUCCUGGCUGUCUGGGCCUUCCCACAUCGUUUCCCACUUAACCAUGACUUUGGGACCUUAGCUGGCGGUCUGGGUUGUUUCCCUCUUCACGACGGACGUUAGCACCCGCCGUGUGUCUCCCGUGAUAACAUUCUCCGGUAUUCGCAGUUUGCAUCGGGUUGGUAAGUCGGGAUGACCCCCUUGCCGAAACAGUGCUCUACCCCCGGAGAUGAAUUCACGAGGCGCUACCUAAAUAGCUUUCGGGGAGAACCAGCUAUCUCCCGGUUUGAUUGGCCUUUCACCCCCAGCCACAAGUCAUCCGCUAAUUUUUCAACAUUAGUCGGUUCGGUCCUCCAGUUAGUGUUACCCAACCUUCAACCUGCCCAUGGCUAGAUCACCGGGUUUCGGGUCUAUACCCUGCAACUUAACGCCCAGUUAAGACUCGGUUUCCCUUCGGCUCCCCUAUUCGGUUAACCUUGCUACAGAAUAUAAGUCGCUGACCCAUUAUACAAAAGGUACGCAGUCACACGCCUAAGCGUGCUCCCACUGCUUGUACGUACACGGUUUCAGGUUCUUUUUCACUCCCCUCGCCGGGGUUCUUUUCGCCUUUCCCUCACGGUACUGGUUCACUAUCGGUCAGUCAGGAGUAUUUAGCCUUGGAGGAUGGUCCCCCCAUAUUCAGACAGGAUACCACGUGUCCCGCCCUACUCAUCGAGCUCACAGCAUGUGCAUUUUUGUGUACGGGGCUGUCACCCUGUAUCGCGCGCCUUUCCAGACGCUUCCACUAACACACAUACUGAUUCAGGCUCUGGGCUGCUCCCCGUUCGCUCGCCGCUACUGGGGGAAUCUCGGUUGAUUUCUUUUCCUCGGGGUACUUAGAUGUUUCAGUUCCCCCGGUUCGCCUCAUUAACCUAUGGAUUCAGUUAAUGAUAGUGUGUCGAAACACACUGGGUUUCCCCAUUCGGAAAUCGCCGGUUAUAACGGUUCAUAUCACCUUACCGACGCUUAUCGCAGAUUAGCACGUCCUUCAUCGCCUCUGACUGCCAGGGCAUCCACCGUGUACGCUUAGUCGCUUAA
This 2902-nucleotide ribosomal RNA is filed under the name Escherichia coli DEC8D. Its description in RNAcentral is "23S ribosomal RNA". Lineage: Bacteria; Pseudomonadati; Pseudomonadota; Gammaproteobacteria; Enterobacterales; Enterobacteriaceae. The record is from RNAcentral.